RNAcentral lists this non-coding RNA (23 nucleotides) under Arabidopsis thaliana (thale cress). Lineage: Eukaryota; Viridiplantae; Streptophyta; Magnoliopsida; Brassicales; Brassicaceae. The record is from RNAcentral.
GAGAUUGGCUGGUAUACCGUGGA